RNAcentral lists this ribosomal RNA (253 nucleotides) under uncultured bacterium. RNAcentral's name for it is "partial 16S ribosomal RNA". It matches the Rfam family "Bacterial small subunit ribosomal RNA", at positions 524 to 776 of the family's 1533-position model. The record is from RNAcentral.
GACGAACCGAGCGAACGUUAUUCGGAAUCACUGGGCUUAAAGGGCGCGUAGGCGGGCCGCCAAUUCAGGGGUGAAAGCCCCCAGCUCAACUGGGGAAGUGCCUCUGAUACUGGCGGCCUCGAGGGAGGUAGGGGCGUGCGGAACUUCCGGUGGAGCGGUGAAAUGCGUAGAUAUCGGAAGGAACACCGGUGGCGAAAGCGGCGCGCUGGACCUCUUCUGACGCUGAGGCGCGAAAGCCAGGGGAGCGAACGGG